RNAcentral lists this transfer RNA (73 nucleotides) under Canis lupus familiaris (dog). It matches the Rfam family "tRNA". Rfam says of the family: Transfer RNA (tRNA) molecules are approximately 80 nucleotides in length. Their secondary structure includes four short double-helical elements and three loops (D, anti-codon, and T loops). Further hydrogen bonds mediate the characteristic L-shaped molecular structure. tRNAs have two regions of fundamental functional importance: the anti-codon, which is responsible for specific mRNA codon recognition, and the 3' end, to which the tRNAs corresponding amino acid is attached (by aminoacyl-tRNA synthetases). tRNAs cope with the degeneracy of the genetic code in two manners: having more than one tRNA (with a specific anti-codon) for a particular amino acid; and 'wobble' base-pairing, i.e. permitting non-standard base-pairing at the 3rd anti-codon position. RNAcentral also lists the same sequence under 1 other name. Lineage: Eukaryota; Metazoa; Chordata; Mammalia; Carnivora; Canidae. The record is from Rfam by way of RNAcentral.
GCUUGGUUGGCCUAGUUGGUGGAGCAUGAGACUCUUGAUCUUGGGGUUGUGAGUUUGAGCCCCACAUUGUGUA